AGUGCGGGCAGCUCCAGAAGCUCAUCGGCAUCUUCAUUGGCAGCCUGUGCGGGCUGUGCACCAAGUGUGCUGUGUCUAACGACCUCACCCAGCAGGAGAUGUGGACCCUGGAGGUGAGGAAACCGAAGGCCUGAGGGAGAACUGACUUGCCAGGAACCCCUGUUAAGGAGAAUUAACAAAGUGUGGUUAUUAAAGAAGAACUGAGUUGGGAGUCAGACCUGGAGGCCUGCACCCUUGGUUAAGACAUUAUACCACCAUACAACAGAGAAAUGCAUAAUGUCCAGUCAAUUUAUUAAAGUUCCAAAGUCGGUCGCGCGCAGUGGCUCACGCCUGUAAUCUCAACACUUCGGGAGGCUGAGGCGUGUGGAUCACGAGGUCAGGAGUUGGAGACUAGCCUGACCAACAUGGUGAAACCCCGUCUCUACUAAAAAUACAAAAAUUAGCCAGGCAUGGUGGCACGCGGCUGUGAUCCCCGCUACUCAGGCGGCUGAGGCAGGAGAAUUGCUUGAACCUGGGAGACAGAGGUUGCAGUGAGCAGAGAUGGUGCCACCGUACUCCAGCCUGGGA
This is a long non-coding RNA of Gorilla gorilla gorilla (western lowland gorilla), 567 nucleotides long. RefSeq lists it as uncharacterized. The record is from RefSeq and is a predicted model, not a curated record. Lineage: Eukaryota; Metazoa; Chordata; Mammalia; Primates; Hominidae. The transcript has 3 exons.